Molecule: non-coding RNA, 1038 nt
Organism: Peromyscus maniculatus bairdii (prairie deer mouse)
Lineage: Eukaryota; Metazoa; Chordata; Mammalia; Rodentia; Cricetidae
Source: RefSeq, a predicted model, not a curated record
AAAAAAAAAAAAAGCAUCAAAAUCAUCUGUUUUUAAAUAGUGCUCAGCAAAUAUUAGAUACUCUUAUUGUGGAAGGAUUAGGGGCUGGGCAAUCAGUUAUCCCUAGUUGAUUAAGAAUUAAUAAUGUUUCAGGCAGUGGUGGCACAUGCCUUUAAUCCCAGCACUCUGUGUGUUUGAGGCCAGCCUGGUCUACAGAGCAAGAUCCAGGACAGGAAUCAAAAACUACACAGAGAAAACCUGUCUUGAUAAACAACAAAAAACAAACAAACAAACAAAAAAGAAUUAAUGAUGCUUCUUCCUAUUUCUAGACAGGGAAUUAUAGAGAAUUAUAUGGAGAAUAAGAGAAGUCCUGAGCUGGGCCUGGUGGCACAUGCCUGUAACCCCAGCACUUAGGAGGCUGAGGCGGGAAGAGCAUAAGUUCAAGGCCAGCUUUCACUAUGUAUACGUGUGGGAGCUUUGAGUUUGAGCUGGCGCAUAGAUAAUCACACCUGUUUUCCAGGUAAGAAAAUCAAAGACCAGCGAGAGUAAAUGCUUGUCAAGAUUACCCAGUGGGGAAAAAACAGAAGCUGACUUUGAACUCGGGUUCCUGACUGCUAUUCUAUUACCCAUUUUAAUUUUAGCAUACUUCCUCUAAGUGCAGCAGGAAAGUUAGGCAAAAGUGAGCUCUGUGAGUUGAAAGAAUAGAGAGAAGAGGGGCUGAGAAGCUGUUUGUGGAGGUUCAAGUAAUAUUUAUGGUAUGGAAUGAAUGCUUGUGUUUCUACCCCCAACUUAAUACUCUGAAAUUAUUUGCCAGUGUGAUGGUAUUUGAACACAGGAGUCCCUGGAAGUUUAUAAGGUCAUGAGGUUGGAGCUCUCAUGAGAGAUGGCAGUGUCCUUAUGAGACAGGACAGACAUCUAGUUUGUUCUCUCUCUGCCAUGUGGUGCCAUGGAAGUCACUUGGGUCACCCGGAAGAGUGCCCACCAGAACCCAAACACGCAGGCACUCUGCCUCAGACCUUCAGCCUCCAGAAUGGUGAGAAAUAAACGUUUGAUAUUUAA